This is a long non-coding RNA of Homo sapiens (human), 946 nucleotides long. Ensembl annotates it as long intergenic non-protein coding RNA 910. The record is from Ensembl. Lineage: Eukaryota; Metazoa; Chordata; Mammalia; Primates; Hominidae.
AGACUAGCGCAGAGAAACGGGGAUAAGUACUGAUGAGGGUCCCAGCCCUCAGCGAUCGGAUUUCAGAGGGGGAGAUAAAGGACUGCCCAGAAGGGUGAUCUCUUCAACUACCUGUGAAAACUGAUGUGAUGAAAAGGGGAAUUUGAAGGAGCCAUUCCAGAAGACAGGGCGAAAACUGAAGUGCAAUCAGGGCCAAGAAAAACAGAAAUAGCAGGACCUGGAGUUGCAUAGGUUGAAUAGUUGAAUAGGCUGCUCUCCUCAGCUGGCAGGAAACCUGGCAGCCUCCUGGUGCCCAAGGACUGAAAACCUUAGAAGCACCUGGAGUUGGCAGCCUUGGCAUGGUCAGGUUGGCACCUCUGGAGGUGCCCAGGCUUCCCUGGCAGCAUUGUGAGCAGUGGAUGGUGUUGAAGGGCAGCCAGAGGAGGAAUGGAACACAUGCUCCUUGCUAACCACACGGACAAGGCCACGUUCACAGGUACACAAAGGCAACGCAGUUGCUCAGGUGCUUCGGUAUCACAGCCAAGACCCCUUCGGGGGAAGCUAGUCGGAUACUGGGACCCACAUUCCAGACUACUGAGCCGCGGUCGCGCCCUCGGCUCCGUUUCUGCUCCCUCCACCCCACGAGGACGGGGGUGGAAGGCCACCUUCGAUGGGUGCAUCCUCCACGAUGACCUGCUAACAAAGGUGCAUGGAUUUCAGAGUCUGAUUGGCCUACAACAGCAUUUGGCUUGUGGAGACAGUGGUUCCCUGAUGAAAAACUGCCAUGAUGAACUUAAUCAGCACAAGGAGACAGCUUCAACUCCCUAUGAUUUCAUCCCUGACCAAUCAGCACUCCUGGGCUCACUGGCUUCCCCCUACCCACCAAGUUGUCCUUAAAAAGUCUGCUCCCCAAAUGCUCGGGUAGACUGAUUUGGGUAAUAAUAAAACUCCGGUCUCCCACACAGCC